Molecule: ribosomal RNA, 328 nt
Filed under: Candidatus Uhrbacteria bacterium
Lineage: Bacteria; Candidatus Uhriibacteriota
Description: bacterial SSU rRNA
Rfam family: Bacterial small subunit ribosomal RNA
Source: RNAcentral
GAUCCUGGCUCAGGAUGAACGCUGGAGGCGUGGCUAAGGCAUGCAAGUCGAACGCCCUGUCCGAAGUCGCAAGACGGAGGAUAAGGGAGUGGCAAACGGGAGCGUAACACAUUGGUUACUUACCUUGAACUCGGGAACAACUAAGGGAAACUUUAGCUAAUACCCGAUAUGAUUGUUGGUCGCAGGGCUGACUAUUGAAAGAUUUAUCGGUUCAAGAGAGACCUAUGGUCCAUCAGCUAGUUGGCGGGGUAAAGGCCCACCAAGGCUAUGACGGAUACCAGGCGCGAGAGCGUGACCUGGCUCACUGGGACUGAGACACUGCCCAGAC